Molecule: small nucleolar RNA, 99 nt
Filed under: Zea mays
Lineage: Eukaryota; Viridiplantae; Streptophyta; Magnoliopsida; Poales; Poaceae
Description: Zm_10
Source: RNAcentral
GCUAAAUGAUGUGAAACUUUGAAAGGGAAAGCACCCAAUCUGAUCGGUUGUGGUGUACCAUGACACUUCUUUCAUAUUGAAUAGGAAGAUCUGAUAGAU